Molecule: small nucleolar RNA, 213 nt
Organism: Pseudophryne corroboree (corroboree frog)
Lineage: Eukaryota; Metazoa; Chordata; Amphibia; Anura; Myobatrachidae
Product: small nucleolar RNA U3
Exons: 1
Source: RefSeq, a predicted model, not a curated record
AAGACUGUAUUUUCAGUGAUCAUUUUUAUAGGCAGUGAUGGAAGAAAUGUGUUUGAAAGUGUCAAAACUUGCCAAUCACCAUGGUGAGUUUUAGGGCUCUCUUCUCAGCAUGAAUGCAGUUAUCAACUCUGUUUUAUGCAGAUGUUGUUAGCUUUUGAUGACUGUGCUACUUCUUUAAAAAUAAGUGGUAGAAAAGAUCUCAUUCAGAGUGGC